Molecule: ribosomal RNA, 924 nt
Filed under: Triticum aestivum (bread wheat)
Lineage: Eukaryota; Viridiplantae; Streptophyta; Magnoliopsida; Poales; Poaceae
Description: partial small subunit ribosomal RNA
Source: RNAcentral
AUGUCAUCGCCGCCGGCACCGGUAUUCGAGAGGCUGGCCGGGAUCCGGCCCCUCGCCGAGUCCGGCCGCUUCAAGGCAUGGUUCCUGGACCAGUUCGGUGUUCUUCAUGACGGGAAGAAACCCUACCCGGGCGCCAUUUUGGCAUUGGAGAAGCUCGCUGGGAAUGGCGCCAAGAUGGUGAUAAUCAGCAAUUCCUCAAGGCGGUCGUCUGUAACCAUGGAGAAGCUGCAGAGCCUUGGGUUUGACACGUCUUGUUUCCUCGGGGCGAUCACCAGCGGGGAACUCACCCAUCAGUACCUUGACAAGAGGGAUGACCCAUGGUUUGCAUCUCUGGGAAGGAAGUGUGUCCAUCUGACAUGGGGCAAUCGAGGUGCAAUUUCUCUGGAGGGACUUGGUUUGCAAGUUGUGAACAAUGUUGACGAUGCAGAGUUUAUACUAGCCCAUGGUACUGAAGCCCUGGGUUUACCUUCUGGUGAUCCACUUUCGAAAAGUCUUGAGGAGCUUGAGCAGAUUCUAGUGCUUGGUAUACAAAAGCGACUUCCAAUGGUGGUAGCUAAUCCAGAUUAUGUCACUGUUGAAGCUCGAAACCUGCGUGUCAUGCCUGGCACCCUGGCAGCAAAAUACGAGAGUCUUGGUGGUGAAGUAAAAUGGAUGGGGAAGCCUGAUAAGGUUAUCUAUACAUCAGCAAUGUCCCUAGCAGGUGUUGAAGCACAUGAAUGUAUCACCGUAGGUGAUUCGCUGCACCACGACAUCAAAGGCGCAAAUGGAGCCGGAAUGGCAUCUGCAUUCAUCACUGGAGGUAUCCAUGCGGCUGAACUUGGACUCGGUGAAUUUGGAGAAACUGCUGGAGAUGAUGCCGUCAGUGCGUUGUGUUGCAAGCAUAGCUCAUACCCAUCUUACGUUUUGCCUUCAUUUGCAUGGUAG